UACAGAGGGUGCGAGCGUUAAUCGGAAUUACUGGGCGUAAAGCGCGCGUAGGCGGCUUUGCAAGUCGGGUGUGAAAUCCCCAGGCUUAACCUGGGAACUGCAUUCGAGACUGCAUUGCUAGAGUAUGGGAGAGGGAAGUGGAAUUUCCGGUGUAGCGGUGAAAUGCGUAGAUAUCGGAAGGAACAUCAGUGGCGAAAGCGGCGCGCUGGACCACUACUGACGCUGAGGAACGAAAGCUAGGGGAGCAAACAGG
This 253-nucleotide ribosomal RNA is filed under the name uncultured bacterium. Its description in RNAcentral is "partial 16S ribosomal RNA". It matches the Rfam family "Bacterial small subunit ribosomal RNA", at positions 524 to 776 of the family's 1533-position model. The record is from RNAcentral.